RNAcentral lists this transfer-messenger RNA (464 nucleotides) under Patescibacteria group. RNAcentral describes it as "JAAXWG01 sp013350285 Standard tmRNA". It matches the Rfam family "transfer-messenger RNA". From Rfam's summary of the family: Bacterial tmRNA, also known as 10Sa RNA or SsrA, is named for its dual tRNA and mRNA-like properties. Its role is to liberate the mRNA from a stalled ribosome. The record is from RNAcentral. RNAcentral also lists the same sequence under 1 other name.
GGGGCUAUUUUUGGAUUCUAUUAGGAGAAUUCGUUAGUCUUAUAUGCUAUCAGGGAGGUGUUUGUGGCUUCCUCUAAUCAAUUACAAACAAGCAUAACUGCAAACAAAACUACUGCUUUAAGCAGAUUUAAGGCAACUAUUAAAGGAGCUUUUACUCCUUUAGCAAUUGCUGCAUAAUCAAGAGUUAUUAAACUAACCUUGAUGUCGCCUCCCCAAGUGGGAUGAUACCGAUUGGUUGCGACAAAUCACUAGAAAAUUUUACUUUGGAAGUUUCUCGUGAUUAUAAAACAAAGUCCUUAUUUCAGGUUAUUUAAAGUAUUUUCCUCGUCAUAUUGUACUAAAAAAACUUUCUUAUAGAUACUUUUUGUUUACUUUGAUAUCUAUGAGUACCAAGAUAAACUAUGAUAGUAGAAAUAUCUGAUUAGCCUCCUAAGAUGUGGGUUCAAAUCCCACUAGCUCCACCA